RNAcentral lists this ribosomal RNA (460 nucleotides) under uncultured bacterium. Its description in RNAcentral is "partial 16S ribosomal RNA". It matches the Rfam family "Bacterial small subunit ribosomal RNA", at positions 338 to 795 of the family's 1533-position model. The record is from RNAcentral.
CCUACGGGAGGCAGCAGUGAGGAAUAUUGGUCAAUGGGCGCGAGCCUGAACCAGCCAAGUAGCGUGAAGGAUGACUGCCCUACGGGUUGUAAACUUCUUUUAUAAAGGAAUAAAACGAGGCACGUGUGCCUUUUUGCAUGUACUUUAUGAAUAAGGAUCGGCUAACUCCGUGCCAGCAGCCGCGGUAAUACGGAGGAUCCGAGCGUUAUCCGGAUUUAUUGGGUUUAAAGGGAGCGUAGGCGGGUUGUUAAGUCAGUUGUGAAAGUUUGCGGCUCAACCGUAAAAUUGCAGUUGAUACUGGCAUCCUGGAGUACAGUAGAGGUAGGCGGAAUUCGUGGUGUAGCGGUGAAAUGCUUAGAUAUCACGAAGAACUCCGAUUGCGAAGGCAGCCUGCUGGACUGUAACUGACGCUGAUGCUCGAAAGUGUGGGUAUCAAACAGGAUUAGAUACCCCUGUAGUC